AGAGCGAACGCUGGCGGCAGGCCUAACACAUGCAAGUCGAGCGCCCGUAGCAAUACGGGAGCGGCAGACGGGAGAGUAACACGUGGGAACGUACCCUUCAGUUCGGAAUAACCCAGGGAAACUUGGACUAAUACCGAAUACGUCCGUAAGGAGAAAGAUUUAUCGCUGAAGGAUCGGCCCGCGUCUGAUUAGCUUGUUGGUGAGGUAACGGCUCACCAAGGCGACGAUCAGUAGCUGGUCUGAGAGGAUGAUCAGCCUCACUGGGACUGAGACACGGCCCAGACUCCUACGGGAGGCAGCAGUGGGGAAUAUUGGACAAUGGGCGCAAGCCUGAUCCAGCCAUGCCGCGUGGAUGAUGAAGGCCCUAGGGUUGUAAAGUCCUUUCGGACGGGGAAGAUAAUGACGGUACCCGUAGAAGAAGCCCCGGCUAACUUCGUGCCAGCAGCCGC
Molecule: ribosomal RNA, 449 nt
Filed under: uncultured bacterium
Lineage: Bacteria
Description: SSU rRNA
Rfam family: Bacterial small subunit ribosomal RNA
Source: RNAcentral